This 279-nucleotide ribosomal RNA is filed under the name uncultured bacterium. Its description in RNAcentral is "partial 16S ribosomal RNA". It matches the Rfam family "Bacterial small subunit ribosomal RNA", at positions 506 to 784 of the family's 1533-position model. The record is from RNAcentral.
UGCCAGCAGCCGCGGUAAUACGGAGGGUGCAAGCGUUAAUCGGAAUUACUGGGCGUAAAGCGCACGUAGGUGGUUUUUUAAGCGAGGUGUGAAAUCCCUCGACUCAAUCGAGGAACGGCCCUGGAAACUGAAUAACUUGAGUGCAGGAGGGGAGAGCGGAAUUCCCAGUGUAGCGGUGAAAUGCGUAGAUAUUGGGAAGAACACCGGCGGCGAAGGCGGCUCUCUGGACUGACACUGACGCUGAGGCGCGAAAGCCGGGGGAGCGAACAGGAUUAGAUA